Molecule: transfer RNA, 74 nt
Filed under: Sphaerodactylus townsendi
Lineage: Eukaryota; Metazoa; Chordata; Lepidosauria; Squamata; Sphaerodactylidae
Description: tRNA-Ala
Source: RNAcentral
GGAAGGGCUGUGGCUCAGUCCAGGGCAUCAGCUUGGCAUGCAGAAGGUCUCAGGUUCGAUCCCCAGCAUUUCCA